Molecule: long non-coding RNA, 425 nt
Organism: Cercocebus atys (sooty mangabey)
Lineage: Eukaryota; Metazoa; Chordata; Mammalia; Primates; Cercopithecidae
Exons: 3
Source: RefSeq, a predicted model, not a curated record
ACUGGUGGCGAAUCCUUAUGCGUCUGCAGCAACCUCAAUUCUUGCCUCCUCAGAAGAAAGAAUUUGACUGAGGGGCAUAAAGGCAGAAGGAGAGACUGAGCUGGUUAAAUCUGAAGAUGCGGAACCCACAGGUAUCAUUUGACAACAACGAAGUAACAUCACAUUCAUAUUUAAUUCCUGUGAAUUUACUUGUACAAGUGUGGGCAUACGAGCGAGAGCGCUGCUUGUUGUUUUGCUCCCUGGACCUGUACCCUGAAGUAAGAUGUGAACUGAGACCUUUGGAGAGGAGCAUCAGGCUGUGAAAAGUGUGAUUCUAUUGUUUAAAGAUUGCUAUUUUUUAUAUGACAGGGCCCUAAAUGCUAAUGACUUCAAGUGGUGUUCAAAUGAAAAAACAAUCGAGGGUAAUUUUGAGUUUUUCUUUUGUC